Molecule: non-coding RNA, 74 nt
Organism: Trichonephila clavipes
Lineage: Eukaryota; Metazoa; Arthropoda; Arachnida; Araneae; Nephilidae
Source: the annotation of a GenBank genome assembly
GGGAAAAAGCUCUGUGGUAAAGCAUUCGACUGCUGUUCGAGAGGUCUUCGGUUCAAACCCGGUGUUUUCUUCCG